AGACUUUGAUCCUGGCUCAGAUUGAACGCUGGCGGCAUGCCUAACACAUGCAAGUCGAACGGUAACAGGGGCUUCGGCCCGCUGACGAGUGGCGGACGGGUGAGUAACGCGCAGGAAUCUGCCUGGUAGCGGGGGACAACUCGGGGAAACUCGAGCUAAUACCGCAUACGCCCUACGGGGGAAAGCGGGGGACCUUCGGGCCUCGCACUAUCAGAUGAGCCUGCGUCCGAUUAGCUUGUUGGUGAGGUAAUGGCUCACCAAGGCUACGAUCGGUAGCUGGUCUGAGAGGAUGAUCAGCCACACUGGGACUGAGACACGGCCCAGACUCCUACGGGAGGCAGCAGUGGGGAAUAUUGGACAAUGGGCGCAAGCCUGAUCCAGCAAUGCCGCGUGUGUGAAGAAGGCCUGCGGGUUGUAAAGCACUUUCAGUGGGGAAGAAAAGCCGCCGGCUAAUAUCCGGCAGUCCUACAUACCCAUCAGAAGAAGCACCGG
Molecule: ribosomal RNA, 492 nt
Filed under: uncultured Chromatiales bacterium
Lineage: Bacteria; Pseudomonadati; Pseudomonadota; Gammaproteobacteria; Chromatiales
Description: bacterial SSU rRNA
Rfam family: Bacterial small subunit ribosomal RNA
Source: RNAcentral